UUGAUUUGGUGGAUGGUGGUGCAUGGCCGUUCUUAGUUGGUGGAGUGAUUUGUCUGGUUAAUUCCGAUAACGAACGAGACUCUAGCCUAUUAAAUAACACACAGAAUCAUGUCUUCUGCGGUGUUUCUUAAUGGGAUCAAGUGUGUUUAACACUUUGAAACAGAGCAAUAACAGGUCUGUGAUGCCCUUAGAUGUUCGGGGCCGCACGCGCGCUACAUUGAAAGACAAAAUGAGCGUUUCUGGUUUUUAACAAAACUAGUAAUCUUUGAAUGUUUUUCUUAA
RNAcentral lists this ribosomal RNA (282 nucleotides) under Macrocheles subbadius. Its description in RNAcentral is "partial 18S ribosomal RNA". It matches the Rfam family "Eukaryotic small subunit ribosomal RNA", at positions 1262 to 1570 of the family's 1831-position model. The record is from RNAcentral. Lineage: Eukaryota; Metazoa; Arthropoda; Arachnida; Mesostigmata; Macrochelidae.